RNAcentral lists this long non-coding RNA (995 nucleotides) under Equus caballus (horse). RNAcentral's name for it is "lncRNA (ENSECAG00000058928.1)". Lineage: Eukaryota; Metazoa; Chordata; Mammalia; Perissodactyla; Equidae. The record is from RNAcentral.
CCAAGACGGCAACAGCAGAGCGUUAAACCAAGUCCAGGGUGGUUCUGAGCACGGGGCCGUGGGCAGCUGCACAGCUUCACACCCACGACGUCAGCGUUCUGUGUCCGCGUUUCCGCGUUCGGCCUUGCAGACUUCUGAGGACGCCAUCGCGGAUCCUGAUUCCCAGACACUGCCAAGAGCUCAUUUUCGUUUCUCCCAUGGUGACAUCAUCUUGUGUCCUCCCUGUUGGUGGUAGCCGGUUCUCCUCGUUGUUUAGCUAACUUUCCACCUUCUCUGAAACUCUGCAGCAACCGUCCCUCCCCAGCCUUUUUCCUAAACGUGUAUCUGGAAUCCACUAAGAGUCAUCUCUACGUCACUGAAAGAGAGCAUCCGUGGUGGCCGUGACAAAGAGAGUUUCAUCCGUAGCCAAGAGGGGCAUUGGGGACCGCAGUUUCGGCAAAGGAGAAAGGAGAAACCCCAGGGAGCAUCAUGGUAACGCCAUGUCUGUGAGGCUGGGCUGAUGCCAUGGCUGUGGUCUGGAAACAGGACUGGAGGACCUCAAGUGGCCCUUCUGGGACUUAGGUUGAAGGGAGCAGUGCGGACAGUUGAGCACCGGGACGCGGCAGUGAGAGAGAGGGAGGCCUUGUCUGUGGACCAUUUAGGGUUUCUGGGGGAAGCUAUUUGGGGCCAGCACUUUCCUAGGUAGUUUGCAAAAUGGGGGCUUAAGAGAACAUUACCCUCUGCCCAGAACAACUAAGGAGUCACAUUUGGAUGGAAUACCAACCUGUGAGAGCCCGGAAGGAAGAGAGACCUUCAGAGUUUGGGACCCAGCUGGUCACCAAGUGAACAGAAUGAGCAGCGAAGCUCCCUUUGAACCUCCUCAGAGUCAUCUUUUACCACAAAAAGAUGAAAAGCUAAUUUAUUUUAAUGCUAUAACAAAGGCUUCUGCUUCUUUCCCCCAACAAGUUCUAGAAGGAAAAAGGAACUCAACAGAGAAAGAUAGAGGGGAAAAUCUU